RNAcentral lists this ribosomal RNA (888 nucleotides) under marine metagenome. Its description in RNAcentral is "bacterial SSU rRNA". It matches the Rfam family "Archaeal small subunit ribosomal RNA", at positions 572 to 1467 of the family's 1478-position model. The record is from RNAcentral.
CUGUGGAAGAGACUGUCAAACUAGAAACCGGGAAGAGCUAGAAGUAUUUGUGGGGGAGCGGUAAAAUGCUAUAAUCCCAUAAAGACUACCAGUGGCGAAGGCGUCUAGCUGGAACGGAUUUGACGGUGAGGGACGAAAGCUAGGGGAGCGAACCGGAUUAGAUACCCGAGUAGUCCUAGCUGUAAACACUGCGAACUAGGUGUUGCAUAUUCUUCGGGAAUGUGCAGUAUCGAAGCGAAGGUGCUAAGUUCGCCGCCUGGGAAGUAUGGUUGCAAGACUGAAACUUAAAGGAAUUGGCGGGGGAGCACUACAAGGGGUGCAGCGUGCGGUUUAAUCUAAUUCAACACAGAGAAUCUCACCAGAAGCGACGGCAGGAUGAAGGUCAGGUUAAAGGCCUUACCUAACAGGCCAAGAGGUAGUGCAUGGCCGUCGUCAGCUCGUGCCGUAAGGUGUCCUGUUAAGUCAGGCAACGAGCGAGACCUAUACUUACAAUUGCUAACAAGCUUUGCGAUUGAGCACAUUGUGAGAACUGCCCUUGAAAAGGGGAGGAAGGUGUAGGCUACGGUAGGUCUGUAUGCUCCGAAUCUUCUGGGCUACACGCGCGCAACAAUGGUAGGAACAAUAGGAUGCAACUCCGAAAGGAGAAGCCAAUCCCCAAAAUCCUAUCCUAGUUCAGAUUGAGGAUUGUAACUUAUCCUCGUGACGCUGGAAUCCCUAGUAAUCAGGUGUUAUCAGCGCCUGGUGAACAUGUCCCUGCUCCUUGCACACACCGCCCGUCAAACCACCCGAGCAGGGUUUAGAUGAGGCUUAAUUUUUAAUUAAGUCAAAUCUAGACUCAGCGAGGAGGGUUAAGUCGUCACAAGGUAGCCGUAGGGGAACCUGCGGCUG